AGCAGCCGCGGUAAUUCCAGCUCCAAUAGCGUAUAUUAAAGUUGUUGCAGUUAAAAAGCUCGUAGUUGAAUUUCGGGAUCAAAUUGUCGGUCGUGCCUCGGUACGUACUGGUAUUAUUGGUUCCUCCCUUCUGACGAACCACGAUGUCAUUAAUUUGGUGUCAUGGGAAAUCAGGACUGUUACUUUGAAAAAAGUUAGAGUGUUUAAAGCAGGCUCGCGCUUGAAUACAUUAGCAUGGAAUAAUGAAAUAGGACGUUUGAUUCUAUUUUGUUGGUUUCUAGGAUCGACGUAAUGAUUAAUAGGGAUAGUUGGGGGCAUUAGUAUUCAAUUGUCAGAGGUGAAAUUCUUGGAUUUAUUGAAGACUAACUACUGCGAAAGCAUUUGCCAAGGAUGUUUUCAUUAAUCAAGAACGAAAGUUAGGGGAUCGAAGACGAUCAGAUACCGUCGUAGUCUUAACCAUAAACUAUGCCGACUAGGGAUCGGAUGAUGUUAAUUUUUUCAAUGACUCAUUCGGCGCCUU
This 520-nucleotide ribosomal RNA is filed under the name uncultured Glomus. Its description in RNAcentral is "SSU rRNA". It matches the Rfam family "Eukaryotic small subunit ribosomal RNA", at positions 569 to 1089 of the family's 1831-position model. Lineage: Eukaryota; Fungi; Glomeromycota; Glomeromycetes; Glomerales; Glomeraceae. The record is from RNAcentral.